Molecule: long non-coding RNA, 2889 nt
Organism: Carassius gibelio (silver crucian carp)
Lineage: Eukaryota; Metazoa; Chordata; Actinopteri; Cypriniformes; Cyprinidae
Exons: 2
Source: RefSeq, a predicted model, not a curated record
UUUGACUCCUAACCCUAGGGUUGUGGGUUCAAAUCUUGGGCUGGCAAUACCACGACUUGGUGCCCUUGAGCAAGGCACCAAAUCCCCAGCUGCGCCACAGCAUAAAUAGCUGCCCACUGCUCUGGGUGUGUGUGUGUGUUCACUGCUCUGUGUGUGUGCACUUUGGAUGGGUUAAAUGCAGAGCACGAAUUCUGAGUAUGGGUCACCAUACUUGGCUGAAUGUGACGUCACUUAUUAUUUUUACAAAUAUUUGAAAAUCUGGAAUCUGAAUCUAAAUAUUGAGAAAAUCGCCUUUAAAGUUGUCCAAAAGAAGUCUUUAGCAUUGCAUAUUACUAAUCAAAAAUUAAGUUUUUAUAUAUUUAAGGUAAGACAUUUUCAAAACAUCUUCAUGGAACAUGAUCUUAACUUUAUAUCCUGUUAUUUUUGGCAGUAAAAAAAAAAUCUAUAAUUUUAACCUAUAUUGUUUGCUAUUGCUACACAUAUACCCGUGACUUAAGGCUGGUUUUGUGGUCCAGGGUCACAAAUCAGUUAUGGACUGCAGCUGUAGAAGUUAAUUGCAAAAUACUUUAUGACUUGUCAUUAUGUGUAGUCCUCAUAGUCUGCCUCUGGAAAUGUCAGUUGCCAUGACAGCCAUGACAUGUUUUCUGAUAGGUUGAUACUGCUCUAUACCCUCUUCAUCGAAUUAGAUGAGAUCUGGACAUCAGCAGAAUGCAAGCUUAAGUAACAUAGCCUUAAAUUUUGUAGGUUCAAUUAAAACAGGUAUUAGACUGCAUGAUUCCCUUAAGCAUUUUCACUCUUAACCACUUGUUGCAGUAUGAAGAAAUUGUGUCUGUUUUAUGAUUUGUUUUUAUUUAGUUAUGAUUAUUUAGAGAAUAAUUCUAAUAUCUUUUGCAUGUUAGAAUGUCUGAAUGAAGAUCAAGAUGCUCUUUCCAAUGAUACUCUUCACUUCAUAGCCACUCAGAAUCAGUUAUUCUCCUGCUUUGAACCAUAUCAGCCAAAAGAGUCGAGUCUAGCAGAAGCCUAAUGAAUAUCCAAGACAAAUUCAGCUGAGUGGAGAUGAGGCAAGGAGGGGAAGAGAGGACAGUGAUUCUUUGGUUCAUCACUCCUUCUAAACCAACAGGCACUUUCAGUAUGGACAGGUAGGGUUCACAUCUUCUUCUGGACUCCAAGCACAUCAAAGAAUUUAUGAUUUCCUAUUUAAAUCAGAUUUUAUUUUUUUUAUUUUUUUGCACGAUUUGUAAUUUGCACUUUGAAAUAUGCCAGUUGCAAGUAUUACUGAUAAUUCUACUGAUUUUCUCAGAGGAUCAGUGAUGAUUUCAAUAAUUACAGUGGAUGCUAGUAUAUUAUUAUUAUAUAUUGUAUAAAGGAAAUUUAUCUUGUACAUUAGAAUAUUUAUGCUGCAUUUUUACUGCACUAACAGACCAUGGUACAUUUUAUGUUCUCUGUUUUCCUAGGUGAUAACAAAUGUACAGUCUCACACACACACACACACACACACACACACACACACACACACACACACACACACAAACAUACAGUACAUGGCUGUGGUGCCAUUUCUGGAAGCACUCCAUGUGCAUUAGAGAAAGAUCUUGUAGCAAAUACUUUAUUCAGGGUCAAAGGUGUAUGCAGUGAGUAGAGGAGAAAAGUAAAGGACGGAAGAGGCAACAUGAAGCCUUUUAAGCCGGUCCAUGUGCCUGUUUACCUCUUUUUUUGUUUAACAAUGGAUUUGCCAUAGUCUUCUCUCAUUGAGUGGUUAUAAACUAAACUGUCUAAACUAAAAUAUAUUUAAUGAACACACAAAUUAUUCUGAAAAAGAUAGACAUGGAAUAGGAAAGCUUAAUUAAUGGUGAUGCAUCAAAGAGAUCUUUCAUUUUCUGAACUCAGAUGUUGACCAUAGCAUUAAGUAAAGUAUUAUUUUUAUUCUCUGAAUGCAGUAAGGUUUAUUCAUAGGAUAUUUGCAUACUUCUUAAGUUGCAAAAUUGUUUUCAAUUCAGAAAGCUUCCUCAUACCUUUGUUUUAAUUGUACUUGAAUCCUAAAUUCUUCCUUGUUGCUGUUGACAGGCUUGUUGUUUUCAGGGUUAUGUGGACUUUCCAUGGAUUGCAAAGCACCUGCUUCUCAAGUCAUUAGCAGCUAAUCUAAAUGUAGGAUAAAGUUACUUGGCCGAUUAAUCGUAACAACACAUCCGUUAAGCUGCAUUGGCUUUUUGGUCUUAUGGAGCCAAGCCAAUGCCUAUCACACUGCCUGUUAAGCGCAUUUCACUUGAUUUAUCCCGUCAUAUGAUCGUACAGGAAGAUAUGGGGCAAAAUAGCCUUUUCAUUUGUGGCUCAUGAGUUCAAUGUCUAACAAGAAUGACAGCUUUCAUCCCUGCAAUGGCAGAUCUGUUGGUGAAAGUCAUUACUCCUGACCUGACUGCCAAAUGCAGAAACCAGGUGAAUUUUAAGGCCACGUGUUCAUAGAACUGAAGCAAAACAUGAAAUACCUUUUGAGAUGUAUGACCCGAGCCUUACUUUACCUGACAAGAACCUUAGAGAGGAUGAGGGGGGACUGGUGGGGGGGUGAGAUUAUCCAUCAUCACAUUUUGCCUUGGUAAAAUCGGAGCAGUGACUUUGGACCUUAAGCAGUGAGCCCAUUAUGAAAUAUCCCUGAGCCUGAAACUCAGCAAGGUUUGAUCCAAACAAACCUUCAAAGUAGCUGCUGCAUUGUUUAAAUAUUGCCAUUAGGAUUUUGGAUGACUUGUUAUUAUAAAUAAUUUCUGUGUGUUGAUUAAUGAUUGCUUUGUGCUCUUUUGUAAAAAUGUGCAUACUAACAAAAGUCUGAUUUUAUUUUCACAUUUUGUAAGGCUGUAAUUUUAUUACGAAUAAUAAAGAGAUCUCAUUCUAAAAGUG